This 503-nucleotide ribosomal RNA is filed under the name uncultured bacterium. RNAcentral's name for it is "partial 16S ribosomal RNA". It matches the Rfam family "Bacterial small subunit ribosomal RNA", at positions 30 to 523 of the family's 1533-position model. The record is from RNAcentral.
AUUGAACGCUGGCGGCAGGCUUAACACAUGCAAGUCGAGCGGGGUGAUGGUGCUUGCACUAUCACUUAGCGGCGGACGGGUGAGUAAUGCUUAGGAAUCUGCCUAUUAGUGGGGGACAACAUCUCGAAAGGGAUGCUAAUACCGCAUACGUCCUACGGGAGAAAGCAGGGGACCACUUGUGACCUUGCGCUAAUAGAUGAGCACAAGUCGGAUUAGCUAGUUGGUGGGGUAAAGGCCUACCAAGGCGACGAUCUCUAGCGGGUCUGAGAGGAUGAUCCGCCACACUGGGACUGAGACGCGGCCCAGACUCCUACGGGAGGCAGCCGUGGGGAAUAUUGGACAAUGGGGGGAACCCUGAUCCAGCCAUGCCGCGUGUGUGAAGAAGGCCUUAUGGUUGUAAAGCACUUUAAGCGAGGAGGAGGCUCUUUUGGUUAAUACCCAAGAUGAGUGGACGUUACUCGCAGAAUAAGCACCGGCUAACUCUGUGCCAGCCGCCGCCGUAA